This is a long non-coding RNA of Brassica napus (rape), 2087 nucleotides long. RefSeq lists it as uncharacterized. The record is from RefSeq and is a predicted model, not a curated record. NCBI's taxonomy places the organism in Eukaryota, Viridiplantae, Streptophyta, Magnoliopsida, Brassicales, Brassicaceae. The transcript is spliced from 10 exons.
UCUUAAAUUUUGUGAUGGUUAAAUUUUUUAACCUGCAGCCCAGUAAAUUAGGAAAUUACCAUUUACCUAAUUAAAUUAAAAAAAAAGAGAGGGAGGAGAAAUAACGAUAAAAUUCUAUUUCAUUCAAACUGAACGAACUCUCUUUUCCCCUUCGGCUCGAGUCAGCCUCAAUCCGGAGGCAAAAUUGUUCGGCCACGACGGACCGCCGUCUUCAGAACACCGUAUGACCGCCCCACUCCAAGAGAUCCUUCUCAGCAAAACCCUAGUUGGAUCUCCAAGCUGGUUUACAAACCUGCCCGCAUAAUUGCCUCCGGCGCCGGAAAAAUCAUUUCUUCCGUCGUCUUCUCUGAAUCUUCCUCAUCGUCUUCAGAGGACGAGGAUUCAUCUUCAGAUUAUUGAGGAUGUUGAGAACAACAUUACCGAUGAGAAUUGAUUCAGCUCUUUGGGUCUAGUGGUUGGUACUGAGUCUACCUUUUAACCGUGACGAGCUUCUUUUAGCAUGUUUCUAUGGUUUUGAUGGAAAAAAGGACCUUGUGAAUGCCCAGGAAUCAACUUUCCACAAACUCAGUUCUAAGCGUGUAAUUGAGCAGCUUCUCAUGCAAGAAACAUUCGCAAGGGAAGAGGGUGAUAGAUUAAUAGACAUCAUCAAGGAAAGGGUCAGUGUUCCUACUUCUAAUGAGGGGAUGCAUAAUGGAUUGACAAAUGAUGUGAAUGUGGGUGAAAUGUCCAGUAAAGCUGUCAUGGAAGCAAAAAGAUGGUUGGAGGAGAAGAAAUCAGCAAGUCUAAAGCAACUGAAGAUGGUGCUGGAUCGCCUGUGGACGUGGCCAAGUCAUACAUGCGAGCUCGUCUGCCAUGGGGAUCUCCGUCUGCGAACAAUUCAAUUCAGAGUUUUGGUCACCAUCACCAGCAGGGACACCACUUCCUUAUAGUUCUGGAACCUUAUCCUCUUCCUUAUAGUUCUGGAACCUUAUCCUCUUCCAAGGAACAAUGGCUGUCUCAGAGUUAUGUAUAUGCAUUCUGACUUUUGGUAUCAAAAUGCAGCUGAAAAGGAGAUCUCGUUCUAAUCCGUCAUGGAAUAUUCAAGAUGAAAUUCGUAAAGUCAGAGCUAAAGCAACAGAGGAAAUGCUUAAAAACUGUAUCCCCCAGUAGUGUAGCAUCAUUAUAAGUUUAUAACCUAAACAAAAGCCCCCCCUAUGUUCUACCAAAUUCAACCAUACCGACCUCUGAGCAAAAUCAGACUACGGAAGCUAAUCAAGCCGUUGAAGAUACCAAUACCGCUCCUCAAAGUGGAACCGGUCUUGAUGACUCAAAUGGAGACACCACAAUUGCUAUGUUGGCUCUUGGAGCAGAUAUGGACAACUGGGAGCUUCUGCAUCCCAAAAGAUGUAUUUGAAACAUCAAAAGAAGCUGAUGAAAUAGGCGCGGCACGUGGAGUUAGUGUCGAACAGUGUCUCUCUGUUUAUUUAUUUUCUGAAUCUUUAAUAUUCAUGUUGUAAGUUUGACACUUGUUUUAGCUGACAAAGCUUUACGGUAUGCAGUUUCCACAAAUAUUUAAAAAAAACUUUUACUUGACCAAAAAGCCAUAAACUGUCACUUCAGUUAAAAAUAUAAUUACUUUUUAACAGAAAUUCUGACAUGAUCCGAUAUAGUAGAACCUUAGUUUCAGUAGUAGAGGAGAGAUUACUUUCAGAUCAGAAGACUGCAAACGGAUUCAAUCUGUUGUGACGACCAGUUUAUUAUGUCAACUUGGUUUAAGUACAAAAAACCAGUACGAGCAAAAAAACUCAAUAAGCAAAACUUUUUCAAGACAGAGAGAGAGAAAGGACAUAACAGAACACACAAUAAAUAAAAAAACAGAGGGUAAAGAAAAGGAAGAAGAAAACGAACAAAACCCAAUAAGCAACGAUCGAAGAAGCCUUCAGACAUUCAAAUCUAAAGGCAAUAUGAACAAGCCCACGAAGAUUUAAUCAGACAGAGAGAUCAUUGGUUUGGUCGGAAGAAAUAAAGUUACUUCUUUUGUUCGGUUUUUGUUGUCAAUUUGUCUGAAUUCUCUGGUCAAUCAUAGCCAAAAAAAGGUUGCUUUUUUU